UUUAAAAAUUGUAACAUGAAAAAAUGUAUGUAUCAUUAUACGCAGUGAGUUACUUAAGUAAGAAAAAAGCAUUUUGUAUUUAGGGGUGGAACAUCCCUUUCAAGAGAUGUCCCUGUUUGCUCUGUUUCAAUGAGGAUUUAGGUAUAAAACCAAAUAAUAACAAUGACGUUUACAGUAAGUACCCCGGUUAUUAUGGCGUCCUACAAAAAUAAAAAAUGCAUUUCUUACCAGGCAUAUUGGUCUCCGUUGUUCACCCUUUUCUUCAGUUUUGUUUCCUGGUGGCAUACUUUGCAUUUCAUUUUUCUUUUAAGCAGUUUAAUCUUCUGAAGAUGUUUUAUAAGCUUCAGUGGGCCUCUUCUAGAAAGCUCCUCGUUAAUUAAUUUUUUCAGUCGUGUAAAAUUUCCCAUUUUUGGCCAAAAUAUCAUUUAAUGAGUUUCCAGUUAUGCUAGCUCUGAGCUGUAAUGUCGCUUCUGGCCAGAGAAAGCCGCGCAUUUGCUGCUUCCGUCUUCCGACGUGACCAAUAGGAGACCGCGAUGCUGUGCCCUUUCACCUCUAGGGCAUAACCAAGGUGGAGUAAUGGCUUCCUCUAGCACUGUGAACAUGACGAGCCCUGGUCGAUCUACAAUAGGCAGGCGAACGAGGGCAAAAAAGGGAAGUAACGACGUGGACAAGGUGGAUGUCAGUGUUACAAGUGGUGUGACUAUUGCUCCAACUGCACAGCUGACAGACAGAAGACGAUCACAAGAGGUGGAGAUCUGUAAGAUGAAGCUAGAGUGGCAAAAGGAUUAGAUUGAUGAGCUCACCAAAGAAAGAGACUAUCUAAAGGAGCAAUUAGCAGCAUGUCUCACAAAAGAACCCACAAGGUCUGUCCAGCAUCCCAGUGACGUACUGAGCAUGUCUUCGCUUUCCUCUGACGGGUCAUUUGAUAAGGGUUCUGACUCCUCCACGAGCACAACUUCAUCAGAUGAAGACAGUCAGAAGAGGAAGAAGAAAGGCAAAGCCAAAAAGAAUAAGAAGUCAAAGAAACAUGACCAAAUUGCAAGAACAAGAGGUAAAGUGAUUAAAUCUUUCUAUAAUUUGAUCCUACAUGCUGUAUUGUACUGCUGUUCUUCUGAGUUGGUUAUGUUAUUUAACCCUUCUAGUGUCCCUAGAGACUUAUGUGUGACUAAAAUUAAAUAAUCUUUCAUAAAUUCCAGUUUUUAGAUUGCUUUCAUCCUUAGCUUGAAAACUCACAAAUGUAAUAAAGUAGAGCUGGCAUGUCUGUUCUCACGGUGCGGGGGCUCUUUCCGACGCCCAUACAGUAUAAAAAUGCAAAUGACGACUUUAGUCGUCAUUGGCAGUUAAUGAGUAAAUUUAGAAAUAUGUGUGUUACAUCCCUACACUAUUACAUAAAAUUAAUAAUCUCAAUAUAACACAUUUGUUCUCUAAAUUGCAGCCCAGAAUCCCAAACAAGUGGUCACCCGGUAUGAGAGGAUUUUGAGGCUGUUCAAAAGAGGAGGGACCAUGUCAGCUGCCUUUAAACGUCUGGGAGUGGACCGGAACACAAUUGUGGCAACUGCUCCAAUUGCUGAGCUUUUCAUUGUCGCACCUGAUAGGUAUAAAGAAUUAGAAAAAAACAAACAGGGUAAGAAACUGUCAUUGUUUGCAACACAGUGUGCUGCAGCAAUCAGUGCAGAUCCAGAAAUAGAGGACAAACGUGAGUCCUAUAAGUCUUCUGGGAAGUUGCUUCCUCUUAAAAAAAAAGACUAGAUUUUAGUGGUUUUUUUACAUUGUGAAAUGUGGUGAUAGGUCACCAUUGUUAACUGCAAAAAGGGCCAGAUUUAAUUAUGUAGUCCAGUUGAUUGGCAGAUUUGUGUGAUAAAAAAAGACACUCUAUUUUUGGUUUGCAUGACUUUUAUUAUUUUUUUACUGUUAGAUUCUAUGUUUAUUUUAAAGAUCACACAUGUGAUACAUUUCAUGUAAAAACAUACAAUUCAUAAAAGUGCAUCGAGCCUUGUUCUUUACUUCAAAUACUGGCUAAUAGUGGUUCAGCACAAUGUUUGUUUUGACAGUUGUGUGUCAAUAUUUGUAAGCAUUGUUUUGAUGUUUUAUAAUUGGCAUCUUAAAAAUAAAGUGCUUUCUGUA
Nothobranchius furzeri (turquoise killifish) is the source of this 2124-nucleotide non-coding RNA. The record is from RefSeq and is a predicted model, not a curated record. NCBI's taxonomy places the organism in Eukaryota, Metazoa, Chordata, Actinopteri, Cyprinodontiformes, Nothobranchiidae.